This 628-nucleotide ribosomal RNA is filed under the name Raphidascaris sp. Asca01. RNAcentral's name for it is "SSU rRNA". It matches the Rfam family "Eukaryotic small subunit ribosomal RNA", at positions 560 to 1195 of the family's 1831-position model. Lineage: Eukaryota; Metazoa; Nematoda; Chromadorea; Rhabditida; Raphidascarididae. RNAcentral also lists the same sequence under 1 other name. The record is from RNAcentral.
UCUGGUCCCAGCAGCCGCGGUAAUUCCAGCUCUCAAAGUGUAUAUCGUCAUUGCUGCGGUUAAAAAGCUCGUAGUUGGAUCUGCGCCUCAGGACUCGGUCCGCCCAUUGGGUGAGAACUGGGCUCCUGGGCUAGUUUUGCUGGUUUUCCCUACGUUGCCUUCAUCGGUAGCAUAGGGUGGCUAGCGAGUUUACUUUGAAAAAAUUAGAGUGCUUCACGCGGGCUUAUGUCUGAAUACUCGUGCAUGGAAUAAUAGAAUAGGAUCUCGGCUCUAUUUUGUUGGUUUUCUGAUCUGAGAUAAUGGUUAAGAGGGACAGACGGGGGCAUUCGUAUCGCUGCGUGAGAGGUGAAAUUCUUGGACCGUAGCGAGACGCCCGACUGCGAAAGCAUUUGCCAAGAAUGUCUUCAUUAAUCAAGAACGAAAGUCAGAGGUUCGAAGGCGAUCAGAUACCGCCCUAGUUCUGACCGUAAACGAUACCAACUAGCGUUCCGUCGGCGGUAAAUACGCCUUGACGGGCAGCUUCCCGGAAACGAAAGUGUUUCGGUUCCGGGGGAAGUAUGGUUGCAAAGCUGAAACUUAAAGAAAUUGACGGAAGGGCACCACCAGGAGUGGAGCCUGCGGCUUAAUU